GUAUAAAUUACCUUCUAUAUCCCAAUAUCUUCCAUAAAAUUGCUUAUUUAACAGCAUCAAGCAAAAUUUUUUAUAUAUAUAUAUAAUAAUAACUGAUUAUUUUUUUCAUUCUAUCACUGAAUGCUGUAAGACAUCUCCCACUAACUUUUCCUUGUAUCUUUGUUAGAAGCAGCGAUGUUGUUUCAAUUGAAAAUAUAAAAAUCUCACUACCACUUGCUUUCAGUCUCUUGUCAUCGUCGUCGUAAUCAUCGUUGACGACGCCGUGAAUAUUAUUGUCACUUUCGCCGAACGUUUUCGACUUCAUUGGAAUCAUCAUUCUACCGCUUCCACCACCUCGUCUCCAUCACUACCACCACUGCAACCACAACCAUUAUCCGCCACCACUAUUACUACUACCAUUGUAAACUCAAAUGUAAUCAUCAUAAUCAGAAAUAAGAGCAGCAGGGACAUCGCCACCGUGCCCGCCAUCAUACAUACACUAGCAUCACUGCUAUUACAAAUAUUACCUUGUUUCAUCGACUAUGUUCUCAUAAUUCGAUAACCACCUAUAUUCCUAAUGUAGCUCUUAUCGCCGACGACGUCGACGUUGCCGCCGCCGCCACUGCCGCCGCCGCCGCCGCCGCUGCCGCUGCCGCCGCCGCCGCCGUCGUCGUCGUCGUCGUCAUCACCAUCAUCCACAUCAAUACUAUUAUCGUCAUCGCUGCUGUCGCAUCCCCCUCCUCAAUACCAAUAACUAUAAAAGAUAUCUGCUGUUUAGUCUAACCUUACUGUUGUUUCUGCUGUUGCUGCUACAGCUGCUGCGGCUGCUGCUGUUGAUCCUAUUCUUGCUGCUGCUUCUGAUGAUGUGGCGGCGCUCAUGUGCAAUGUACAGUGCGGCGGCGGACGAUAAACAUGAAUUACGGCUGUAGCUGGGUGCUCAUAUCGCCACAACCGAUCUCGACAGCGGUGCGGCCUUACGCAGAAGGGCGCCCCUGAAAGCUGUUUUUAAGCAAUUGUUAACAGCUAAAUGCCACUGUCUUCUUCGAUACAAAAAGGACUAGUGGAUGACCCCAGUAACACAGUGGAGCUGGUCUUUAGCAUUUACAUGGCACCUCCCUUUCGGACUAACAACCGGUUGAAAAUACAGAUUCUACAUAUUCCACUAUGCGUCUCCCCAUGACAUCUGUAGGAAGGGCAUUGUUUCUUGUCGUGCUUGUAUAUGCCCAAGUGAAUUUACAAGGUA
RNAcentral lists this long non-coding RNA (1222 nucleotides) under Octopus vulgaris (common octopus). Lineage: Eukaryota; Metazoa; Mollusca; Cephalopoda; Octopoda; Octopodidae. The record is from RNAcentral.